AGUGAUCUUUUGUUCAUUCAAAUAGGAUAGCUCUGGUUCUUUUUGUUGUGUAUAGGCAAUUCUUUCAGCAGUGGGCAAGCUUUCUUGAUGCUUGCUCCCUUGCCAACUAUCCAAAGGAUAGGUCCCUUGUAUCCAUUGUGUGUAUCCACUAGCCAAAUUUUGUUGAUUUACAUGAAAGGAAAUCAUACAGGAGUUAAUUGUACAAAAUAGAAACCGGUCCGCAUGCCUUAUGAUGGUAUACAGUACACAUUCACUAGAGUCAACUGUACAAAUUCAGCAACCGUACCAGCUUUGUUGCAGCCUUAUCUGCUGGUUCCCUCCAAAAUCCCAACUUUAGCACUAUGAAAAAGAAGAUUCCC
This 359-nucleotide long non-coding RNA is filed under the name Setaria italica (foxtail millet). RNAcentral describes it as "long non-coding RNA (SITA_LNC007216)". The record is from RNAcentral. Lineage: Eukaryota; Viridiplantae; Streptophyta; Magnoliopsida; Poales; Poaceae.